GCCUACGGGGGGCAGCAGUAGGGAAUCUUCCACAAUGGGCGAAAGCCUGAUGGAGCAACGCCGCGUGGGUGAAGAAGGUCUCCGGAUCGUAAAACCCUGUUGUUAGAGAAGAAAGUGCGUGAGAGUAACUGUUCACGUUUCGACGGUAUCUAACCAGAAAGCCACGGCUAACUACGUGCCAGCAGCCGCGGUAAUACGUAGGUGGCAAGCGUUAUCCGGAUUUAUUGGGCGUAAAGGGAACGCAGGCGGUCUUUUAAGUCUGAUGUGAAAGCCUUCGGCUUAACCGGAGUAGUGCAUUGGAAACU
RNAcentral lists this ribosomal RNA (305 nucleotides) under uncultured bacterium. RNAcentral describes it as "bacterial SSU rRNA". It matches the Rfam family "Bacterial small subunit ribosomal RNA", at positions 337 to 634 of the family's 1533-position model. The record is from RNAcentral.